GUCCAGUUGACGAGUCCCAAAUCGGACGAAACACGAGUUUAGGAU
Schistosoma haematobium is the source of this 45-nucleotide non-coding RNA. NCBI's taxonomy places the organism in Eukaryota, Metazoa, Platyhelminthes, Trematoda, Strigeidida, Schistosomatidae. The record is from Rfam.